CUUGUAGAAACGCAACAGCGCCCCCUCUGGUCACAAAAUGUGUAACACCUGUUUAGAGUCUACGGAGAGUUGGGGACUACCAGACUACCGGAACAGAAAAAGACGUUCCUGCAGCAAAUUUCGACACAGUCGACAUCAGGAAUCACAGGAAAAUUCAGCAGAAAAAUUGUUCCAUACAACAGACUUGGAAAGUGAGUGGAAAUGUAAAGAGAAAUCUGUGGAGAUGAAGAAGCGUCAGGCCUCGACUUCGCCUUCUGCAACCUGUCAUGGCAUCAGUGCGGCUUUUAGAUGUCUUCUCCACGGGGAGUAAAUCAGAGCAGCUUUGCCGUCAGGGAGUGAGAGAAAGGGUUACCAUGGUGACCACGAUGAGCUGCCGCAAGAACAUGAAGUUGGUUACAGUUCACGGCUGCAGCACUUUGAGCUUAUUAAGAAAGCAGCUGCCGAAGCCUUCGACACGCCUUUUUAAAAGCGAAGUUAAAAGUCAAUAAUUUUUAAUGGAAAUUAGAAAUGCAAAGAUUUUGUUGUUGACUUCUCGAGAACAAAGAUGUUUGUGUAACUUUGCACAUCAAUCAGAUCCGAUCUCCAGCUCCUCUGCAUCGGUAAUUAUGCUUCCAGAGAAAUGCAUUGCUUUGUUUUUUUAUUCUUUGAAACUCUUGGUAUAAUUCUUACACGCUGCCUCCUCUGUAUGAUAAUAAGAUCCAAUUAAAAUCACUUCACAAAUCAA
This is a long non-coding RNA of Austrofundulus limnaeus, 724 nucleotides long. RefSeq lists it as uncharacterized. The record is from RefSeq and is a predicted model, not a curated record. The transcript has 3 exons. NCBI's taxonomy places the organism in Eukaryota, Metazoa, Chordata, Actinopteri, Cyprinodontiformes, Rivulidae.